AAAGGAAUAGACGGGGGCCCGCACAAGCGGAGGAACAUGUGGUUUAAUUCGAUGAUACGCGAGGAACCUUACCUGGGCUUAAAUGUGCUAUGACCGCUGGAGAAAUUCGGCUUCCCGCAAGGGCAGAGUACAAGGUGCUGCAUGGUUGUCGUCAGCUCGUGCCGUGAGGUGUCGGGUUAAGUCCCAUAACGAGCGCAACCCUUAUUGUCAGUUGCUAACAGGUAAUGCUGAGGACUCUGGCGAGACUGCCACCGUAAGGUGUGAGGAAGGUGGGGAUGACGUCAAAUCAGCACGGCCCUUAUGUCCAGGGCUACACACGUGUUACAAUGGCCGAUACAAAGGGCAGCUACUUGGCAACAAGAUGCUAAUCUCAAAAGUCGGUCUCAGUUCGGAUCGAAGUCUGCAACCCGACUUCGUGAAGCUGGAUUCGCUAGUAAUCGCGCAUCAGCCAUGGCGCGGUGAAUACGUUCCCGGGCCUUGUACACACCGCCCGU
RNAcentral lists this ribosomal RNA (494 nucleotides) under uncultured bacterium. Its description in RNAcentral is "bacterial SSU rRNA". It matches the Rfam family "Bacterial small subunit ribosomal RNA", at positions 903 to 1397 of the family's 1533-position model. The record is from RNAcentral.